UGACAUUGAUGACCCCUAUCCCGAAACUGAUCAUUUAUUGAUGAGACAAAUUUAUCGGAUCUGAUUGCUGAGUU
Small nucleolar RNA from Labrus bergylta (ballan wrasse), 74 nucleotides. RefSeq annotates it as small nucleolar RNA SNORD50. Lineage: Eukaryota; Metazoa; Chordata; Actinopteri; Labriformes; Labridae. The record is from RefSeq and is a predicted model, not a curated record.